UCUCCUAUUUGAUGUUGGCUUGGCUCAAUCAAAUCAAAGUUCUUGAAAUUUGAGUUCUUUUGUUUGAUUGAGUCGUGUCAAUAUCAUAUCGAAGAUG
Molecule: microRNA precursor, 97 nt
Filed under: Trifolium pratense (red clover)
Lineage: Eukaryota; Viridiplantae; Streptophyta; Magnoliopsida; Fabales; Fabaceae
Source: RNAcentral